Syngnathus acus (greater pipefish) is the source of this 304-nucleotide long non-coding RNA. RefSeq lists it as uncharacterized. The transcript has 2 exons. NCBI's taxonomy places the organism in Eukaryota, Metazoa, Chordata, Actinopteri, Syngnathiformes, Syngnathidae. The record is from RefSeq and is a predicted model, not a curated record.
CAAGGAGGCUAAAUAUUGUAGCGCACAUCAUACACUCCCUUACAACUGAAGAUUUUUAAUCUUUACAAGGACACAAAAACAUUGCGCAAUUGGUGAGCAUAGAUGGUACAAGUGUACAGGUUUACUGCAAUGAAUUGCUUUUUACUGUUUCCUCCAAUGAUGAGGUUUACUUUCAAUUGCAGGAUACACUCGUAGCGUUCCAAGGAGCAGGUAACAUUUGCAGAAUAGCAGCAAUUGUUUCCCUUACUGUGCUUAUAAUCACAAUCUUUAUUGCCUCAGAGAAACGACCUCGUCCACUUAAACC